UACGUAGGUGACCAGCGUUGUCCGGAUUUACUGGGCGUAAAGAGCGCGCAGGCGGUCGUUCCAGUCAAGUGUGAAAGCCCCCGGCUCAACUGGGGAGGGUCACUCGAUACUGAUCGACUUGAAGGCAGGAGAGGGAAGCGGAAUUCCCGGUGUAGUGGUGAAAUGCGUAGAUAUCGGGAGGAACACCAGUGGCGAAGGCGGCUUCCUGGCCUGUUCUUGACGCUGAGGCGCGAAAGCUAGGGGAGCAAACGGG
RNAcentral lists this ribosomal RNA (253 nucleotides) under uncultured bacterium. RNAcentral describes it as "partial 16S ribosomal RNA". It matches the Rfam family "Bacterial small subunit ribosomal RNA", at positions 524 to 776 of the family's 1533-position model. The record is from RNAcentral.